This 679-nucleotide ribosomal RNA is filed under the name Wolbachia endosymbiont of Tamarixia dryi. RNAcentral's name for it is "bacterial SSU rRNA". It matches the Rfam family "Bacterial small subunit ribosomal RNA", at positions 295 to 991 of the family's 1533-position model. Lineage: Bacteria; Pseudomonadati; Pseudomonadota; Alphaproteobacteria; Rickettsiales; Anaplasmataceae. The record is from RNAcentral.
AGAGGAUGAUCAGCCACACGUGGAACUGAGAUACGGUCCAGACUCCUACGGGAGGCAGCAGUGGGGAAUAUUGGACAAUGGGCGAAAGCCUGAUCCAGCCAUGCCGGCUGGAGUGAAGAAGGCCUUUGGGUUGUAAAGCUCUUUUAGUGAGGAAAGAUAAUGACGGUACUCACAGAAGAAGUCCUGGCUAACUCCGUGCCAGCAGCCGCGGUAAUACGGAGAGGGCUAGCGUUAUUCGGAAUUAUUGGGCGUAAAGGGCGCGUAGGCUGGUUAAUAAGUUAAAAGUGAAAUCCCGAGGCUUAACCUUGGAAUUGCUUUUAAAACUAUUAAUCUAGAGAUUGAAAGAGGAUAGAGGAAUUCCUGAUGUAGAGGUAAAAUUUGUAAAUAUUAGGAGGAACACCAGUGGCGAAGGCGUCUAUCUGGUUCAAAUCUGACGCUGAAGCGCGAAGGCGUGGGGAGCAAACAGGAUUAGAUACCCUGGUAGUCCACGCUGUAAACGAUGAAUGUUAAAUAUGGGAAGUUUACUUUCUGUAUUACAGCUAACGCGCUAAACACUCCGCCUGGGGAGUACGGUCGCAAGAUUAAAACUCAAAGGAAUUGACGGGGACCCGCACAAGCGGUGGAGCAUGUGGUUUAAUUCGAUGCAACGCGAAAAACCUUACCACUUCUUGACAUGGAA